GGUUAAGCGACUAAGCGUACACGGUGGAUGCCCUGGCAGUCAGAGGCGAUGAAGGACGUGCUAAUCUGCGAUAAGCGUCGGUAAGGUGAUAUGAACCGUUAUAACCGGCGAUUUCCGAAUGGGGAAACCCAGUGUGAUUCGUCACACUAUCAUUAACUGAAUCCAUAGGUUAAUGAGGCGAACCGGGGGAACUGAAACAUCUAAGUACCCCGAGGAAAAGAAAUCAACCGAGAUUCCCCCAGUAGCGGCGAGCGAACGGGGAGCAGCCCAGAGCCUGAAUCAGUGUGUGUGUUAGUGGAAGCGUCUGGAAAGGCGCGCGAUACAGGGUGACAGCCCCGUACACAAAAAUGCACAUACUGUGAGCUCGAUGAGUAGGGCGGGACACGUGGUAUCCUGUCUGAAUAUGGGGGGACCAUCCUCCAAGGCUAAAUACUCCUGACUGACCGAUAGUGAACCAGUACCGUGAGGGAAAGGCGAAAAGAACCCCGGCGAGGGGAGUGAAAAAGAACCUGAAACCGUGUACGUACAAGCAGUGGGAGCACGCUUAGGCGUGUGACUGCGUACCUUUUGUAUAAUGGGUCAGCGACUUAUAUUCUGUAGCAAGGUUAACCGAAUAGGGGAGCCGAAGGGAAACCGAGUCUUAACUGGGCGUUAAGUUGCAGGGUAUAGACCCGAAACCCGGUGAUCUAGCCAUGGGCAGGUUGAAGGUUGGGUAACACUAACUGGAGGACCGAACCGACUAAUGUUGAAAAAUUAGCGGAUGACUUGUGGCUGGGGGUGAAAGGCCAAUCAAACCGGGAGAUAGCUGGUUCUCCCCGAAAGCUAUUUAGGUAGCGCCUCGUGAAUUCAUCUCCGGGGGUAGAGCACUGUUUCGGCAAGGGGGUCAUCCCGACUUACCAACCCGAUGCAAACUGCGAAUACCGGAGAAUGUUAUCACGGGAGACACACGGCGGGUGCUAACGUCCGUCGUGAAGAGGGAAACAACCCAGACCGCCAGCUAAGGUCCCAAAGUCAUGGUUAAGUGGGAAACGAUGUGGGAAGGCCCAGACAGCCAGGAUGUUGGCUUAGAAGCAGCCAUCAUUUAAAGAAAGCGUAAUAGCUCACUGGUCGAGUCGGCCUGCGCGGAAGAUGUAACGGGGCUAAACCAUGCACCGAAGCUGCGGCAGCGACGCUUAUGCGUUGUUGGGUAGGGGAGCGUUCUGUAAGCCUGCGAAGGUGUGCUGUGAGGCAUGCUGGAGGUAUCAGAAGUGCGAAUGCUGACAUAAGUAACGAUAAAGCGGGUGAAAAGCCCGCUCGCCGGAAGACCAAGGGUUCCUGUCCAACGUUAAUCGGGGCAGGGUGAGUCGACCCCUAAGGCGAGGCCGAAAGGCGUAGUCGAUGGGAAACAGGUUAAUAUUCCUGUACUUGGUGUUACUGCGAAGGGGGGACGGAGAAGGCUAUGUUGGCCGGGCGACGGUUGUCCCGGUUUAAGCGUGUAGGCUGGUUUUCCAGGCAAAUCCGGAAAACUAAGGCUGAGGCGUGAUGACGAGGCACUACGGUGCUGAAGCAACAAAUGCCCUGCUUCCAGGAAAAGCCUCUAAGCAUCAGGUAACAUCAAAUCGUACCCCAAACCGACACAGGUGGUCAGGUAGAGAAUACCAAGGCGCUUGAGAGAACUCGGGUGAAGGAACUAGGCAAAAUGGUGCCGUAACUUCGGGAGAAGGCACGCUGAUAUGUAGGUGAAGUCCCUCGCGGAUGGAGCUGAAAUCAGUCGAAGAUACCAGCUGGCUGCAACUGUUUAUUAAAAACACAGCACUGUGCAAACACGAAAGUGGACGUAUACGGUGUGACGCCUGCCCGGUGCCGGAAGGUUAAUUGAUGGGGUC
RNAcentral lists this ribosomal RNA (1865 nucleotides) under Escherichia coli. Its description in RNAcentral is "partial 23S ribosomal RNA". It matches the Rfam family "Bacterial large subunit ribosomal RNA", at positions 1 to 1891 of the family's 2925-position model. The record is from RNAcentral. Lineage: Bacteria; Pseudomonadati; Pseudomonadota; Gammaproteobacteria; Enterobacterales; Enterobacteriaceae.